CUCAAAUCUCCUCUUCAAACAAGGGUUGGUGGUGGGUGCUUGGGACCAGCUGUGCCGCUGCUCUGACUGCUGGGGCAGCUGUAAUGAAACAGAAACCCCAACCCAACCAUACAUACACCCUCUCUUAAAAAAAAAAAAAAAAACAAAAAAAAAAACCCACAAUCAUUUUUAAGAAAUUUUGUUAGAAAUGAGAAUUCUCUGAAAUUAUGUCAAAGCUUGCUGAAGCCUGCGCAUAUAUCUUUGAUUUUGGGGCAGUUGCAGACUGCCAAAGCUCACAGUGUUUUCUUCACUUUCCAGCCAAACUAAACAAGGGAACGGCAGACUGCUUAUUUUUCAGGGAGAACUGGAAAAACGGGGACCUGAAGACUAGACUAAUGAUGGCUACAUUUUUUAAAACAAGAACAGUCUCUUUGGUCUGUGAUCUUGGCAUAUGCAUCAAAGCUGCUGUUGGCAUUUUCCAGAACAACAGGAUUUUACUCAUGUACUAAAUGAGGGCUGUGGAGCAGCAGAUACGCUUGCCCAGAUGAGGCGAUGGCUGUCAGCUGAGCCAGCUGAGAUGGGAGCACUGCUUAAGUGAGGGCUGCUCCUCAUCCUGCGGCAGCUGGCCAGCACCUUUUGCGUGAAGGACUUGGUCCUGAACCAAGGGCUUGCGAAAGACGUGCGGAAGUGGUGAGCUGAAAGGAGGAGGUGAGCACCAGGACUUAGCUACUUUUGAACGACUGCAUCUUCUGCAUGCUUUGAGCCUUGUCCUGAGGUCUGAAAGUAUUUCUUGCCUCCCCUUGGUCUGUCUCUGAAGGUUUAAAUGAAUAAGCACAGAGAGCUUCAGUAUAGGCACUCAGAGUGUAUAAAAGCAACCUGCAUGGUAUGGAGGCGGUGCCAGAUGCUG
This 886-nucleotide long non-coding RNA is filed under the name Dromaius novaehollandiae (emu). RNAcentral describes it as "lncRNA (ENSDNVG00000001141.1)". Lineage: Eukaryota; Metazoa; Chordata; Aves; Casuariiformes; Dromaiidae. The record is from RNAcentral.